Molecule: long non-coding RNA, 1073 nt
Filed under: Marmota monax (woodchuck)
Lineage: Eukaryota; Metazoa; Chordata; Mammalia; Rodentia; Sciuridae
Source: RNAcentral
CCCAAAUGCCCAACAUCAGAAAAAUGGGUGAAAAAUAGUGUAAUAUCCAUAAGAUAAAAUACUAAGCAAUAAAAAGGAACUAAUGCUUGAUACAUAGCCAGCCACAACAUAGAUGAAUCUCAGACUGGAGUGAAAGGAGUCAGAGGGGACAAAUUACACAUUAUAUGAUUGCAUUUAUGUAAAGUUCUAGAAAAUGCAAGUAAAUCUAUAGUGACUGAUGAGGGCUUGCCUGGAGAAGGGUAGAAGGAUAUUAAUGGGGAGGGGAAAGAGAAUGAAUACAGAGGAAAUUUUUAGUGGGGAAGCCUUUGUGGUUGCUUGAUGUGUCCAUUGUCUUGAUUUUGGUGAUGGUUUUACAAAUACAAACAUCUGUUGAAACAUGAAAUUGCAUACUUUAUUCUAUGACAGUUAUUCCUCCAUACAACAGAAAAAAAAAUGCCCUUCCCUCCAAGAAGGGACAACUUGAAUGCCGUGAACAUUUUAUUUAAAUCAGUAAUGCACAUUUGGCAGGUUUAGUUCUUUUGUUUGUUUUAGUGUUUGAUGCAUCCAGUUGUAGGACCCUAAUGCCUUUCUUGCAAAAUCUCCAUUUAUGACCCUUUCUUUAAGAAUAUUUACUUUUUGAUUCUCUUUAAAAAUCAGAAUUUAUAGACACAUGGGAGUUAAAUAUAGGACCUCUGUAGACUUCUAGGAUUUUCAGUCCCAAAUCUUUUUGUUUUCUCUCCCAUAUUUAAUUGCUUUUGUAAUUUGCCUUAUCAUUCAAAGCAUCCUACCGAGUCAUUGAAACAGAAUUUUCUUUUUAUAAUUGCAUUCCAUUGGUUUGCAGAUUAUUUUUAUUAAAUUUCAUCACUGCAAUAACAAAUAUAAUUGGCAAAAACAGGCUUGGGAACAAACUUGACUAGCUUUUUGGUAAGCACAUCUUUGCAGAAGGGAAAACUUUACAGAUUACCUACUACACCAGCCUUAACUGGGUAGAGGUCAUUUAUCACAGUGUAGUUUUUCAAAAUAGAGUCUGUUAAUUUGCUGAGUUGGUGAAGUAAAGGUCAGUUAAGAAAUUCUCCUGCUCAAGCUCUAUGAUC